This is a non-coding RNA of Danio rerio (zebrafish), 497 nucleotides long. Lineage: Eukaryota; Metazoa; Chordata; Actinopteri; Cypriniformes; Danionidae. The record is from RefSeq and is a predicted model, not a curated record.
UUCCACACCGCCUUACCAAACAGAAGUAUGGUUUGGGAAUUAUCACCUUGUUUCCCUCACUCAGAGAUCCCCAAGGGAGGACUGGAUAUGAACAUUUUUAUGAGGGCCAGAAAAACUCUGGAUUCUUGUCGUGGCGACUCAAAACCGUACAAAGGGGGACAAAACCUUCUGGAAAUAAAGAUGAUCCUAAAACAGAGGAAAAGGGGGGUCCUUUGCUUCACCGACAGCUGUGUCACCCUGAAGAUCAGCUGGACAGUGAUCAGUCUAGAGUCUAGAGGCCAUCUCUCUGAUGAAUCAUACAAGCGACCGUGAGGUCAUCAUGCAGAAGAUGAGGGCAACAUUUAAAUACAGACAACGUCUUGUGCGUGAUCCAGAGAAAUCCACCACUAUUCUCUCUGUUUUUCCUCGAUUUCUGGAUACGAAAGGAUUGAUUCUCCAGGACUUUACACUCCUGUUCGGGUCAGAAACGGCUUCCAGACUCUUGGAAAGGUGGCCAA